This 456-nucleotide ribosomal RNA is filed under the name Salmonella enterica subsp. enterica serovar Enteritidis. RNAcentral describes it as "partial 23S ribosomal RNA". It matches the Rfam family "Bacterial large subunit ribosomal RNA", at positions 161 to 590 of the family's 2925-position model. The record is from RNAcentral. Lineage: Bacteria; Pseudomonadati; Pseudomonadota; Gammaproteobacteria; Enterobacterales; Enterobacteriaceae.
AAUCCAUAGGUUAAUGAGGCGAACCGGGGGAACUGAAACAUCUAAGUACCCCGAGGAAAAGAAAUCAACCGAGAUUCCCCCAGUAGCGGCGAGCGAACGGGGAGGAGCCCAGAGCCUGAAUCAGCAUGUGUGUUAGUGGAAGCGUCUGGAAAGGCGCGCGAUACAGGGUGACAGCCCCGUACACAAAAGCGCAUGUGCUGUGAGCUCGAUGAGUAGGGCGGGACACGUGGUAUCCUGUCUGAAUAUGGGGGGACCAUCCUCCAAGGCUAAAUACUCCUGACUGACCGAUAGUGAACCAGUACCGUGAGGGAAAGGCGAAAAGAACCCCGGCGAGGGGAGUGAAAAAGAACCUGAAACCGUGUACGUACAAGCAGUGGGAGCCCCACCACCAAAGCAUUUGCUGUACCGCGUUGACGGAGCGAAGCGACGUCAAACCGAUAAAACAGCAGUGUAAAG